GUGGGGAAUUUUGGACAAUGGGCGAAAGCCUGAUCCAGCAAUGCCGCGUGUGUGAAGAAGGCCUUCGGGUUGUAAAGCACUUUUGGCAGGGAAGAAACAGUGCGUGCUAAUACCAUGCGCGAAUGACGGUACCUGCAGAAUAAGCACCGGCUAACUACGUGCCAGCAGCCGCGGUAAUACGUAGGGUGCAAGCGUUAAUCGGAAUUACUGGGCGUAAAGCGUGCGCAGGCGGCUUUGUAAGACGGAUGUGAAAGCCCCGGGCUCAACCCGGGAAGUGCAGUCGUGACUGCAAGGCUAGAGUGGGUCAGAGGGAGGUGGAAUUCCGCGUGUAGCAGUGAAAUGCGUCGAGAUGCGGAGGAACACCGAUGGCGAAGGCAGCCUCCGGGGAUAACACUGACGCUCAGGCACGAAAGCGUGGGGAGCAAACAGGAUUAGAAACCCGGGUAGUCC
Molecule: ribosomal RNA, 450 nt
Filed under: uncultured bacterium
Lineage: Bacteria
Description: partial 16S ribosomal RNA
Rfam family: Bacterial small subunit ribosomal RNA
Source: RNAcentral